UACGUAGGGUGCGAGCGUUAAUCGGAAUUACUGGGCGUAAAGCGUGCGCAGGCGGUUUUGUAAGCCAGAUGUGAAAUCCCCGGGCUCAACCUGGGAAUGGCAUUUGGGACUGCAAGGCUUGAGUGCGGCAGAGGAGACUGGAAUUCCUGGUGUAGCAGUGAAAUGCGUAGAUAUCUGGAGGAAUACCGGUGGCGAAGGCGGCAUCCUGGACCGACAUUGACGCUGAGGAGCGAAAGCCAGGGGAGCAAACGGG
Molecule: ribosomal RNA, 253 nt
Filed under: uncultured bacterium
Lineage: Bacteria
Description: partial 16S ribosomal RNA
Rfam family: Bacterial small subunit ribosomal RNA
Source: RNAcentral